This 516-nucleotide ribosomal RNA is filed under the name uncultured bacterium. RNAcentral describes it as "bacterial SSU rRNA". It matches the Rfam family "Bacterial small subunit ribosomal RNA", at positions 53 to 507 of the family's 1533-position model. The record is from RNAcentral.
ACAUGCAAGUCGAGGGGAAACGAUAGAGAAAGCUUGCUUUUUCUAGGCGUCGACCGGCGCACGGGUGAGUAACGCGUAUCCAACCUGCCCAUCACUUGGGGAUAACCUUGCGAAAGUAAGACUAAUACCCAAUGACGUCUCUAGAAGACAUCUUAAUUACAUGUGUGCUUAAGAUACCUGAUGGUAUCUUAAGCACACAUGUAAUUAAGAUUAAAGAUUUAUCGGUGUACGAUGGGGAUGCGUUCCAUUAGGUAGUAGGCGGGGUAACGGCCCACCUAGCCUACGAUGGAUAGGGGUUCUGAGAGGAAGGUCCCCCACAUUGGAACUGAGACACGGUCCAAACUCCUACGGGAGGCAGCAGUGAGGAAUAUUGGUCAAUGGACGAGAGUCUGAACCAGCCAAGUAGCGUGAAGGAUGAAGGUCCUACGGAUUGUAAACUUCUUUUAUAAGGGAAUAAAACCUCCCACGUGUGGGAGCUUGUAUGUACCUUAUGAAUAAGCAUCGGCUAACUCCGUG